GUUAGGAAUAUUGGACAAUGGGCGCAAGCCUGAUCCAGCCAUGCCGCGUGAGUGAUGAAGGCCUUCGGGUUGUAAAGCUCUUUAGCCGAUGAUUAUAAUGACUGUAGUCGGAAAAUAAGCCCCGGCUAACUUCGUGCCAGCAGCCGCGGUAAUACGAAGGGGGCGAGCGUUAUUCGGAAUCACUGGGCGUAAAGCGUGCGUAGGCGGCUUUGCAAGUUGGGAGUGAAAGCCCAGGGCUCAACCCUGGAAUUGCUCUCAAAACUGCAAGGCUCGAAUUCGGGAGAGGAUAGCGGAAUUGUCAGUGUAGCAGUGAAAUGCGUAGAUAUUGACAGGAACACCAGUGGCGUAAGCGGCUAUCUGGACCGAUAUUGACGCUGAGGCACGAAAGCGUGGGGAUCAAACAGGAUUAGAAACCCCAGUAGUCA
Molecule: ribosomal RNA, 425 nt
Filed under: uncultured bacterium
Lineage: Bacteria
Description: partial 16S ribosomal RNA
Rfam family: Bacterial small subunit ribosomal RNA
Source: RNAcentral